GAUCCUGGCUCAGAUUGAACGCUGGCGGAAUGCUUUACACAUGCAAGUCGAGCGGCAGCGCGGGGCAACCUGGCGGCGAGCGGCGAACGGGUGAGUAACACAUCAGAACGUGCCCAGACGUGGGGGAUAGCCCGGCGAAAGCCGGAUUAAUACCGCAUACGAUCUGAGGAUGAAAGCGGGGGAUCGCAAGACCUCGCGCGUUUGGAGCGGCCGAUGGCAGAUUAGGUAGUUGGUGGGGUAAAGGCUUACCAAGCCUGCGAUCUGUAGCUGGUCUGAGAGGAUGAUCAGCCACACUGGGACUGGGACACGGCCCAGACUCCUACGGGAGGCAGCAGUGGGGAAUUUUGGACAAUGGGCGCAAGCCUGAUCCAGCCAUUCCGCGUGCAGGACGAAGGCCUUCGGGUUGUAAACUGCUUUUGUACGGAACGAAAAGCCCUUCUCUAAUACAGAGGGGUCAUGACGGUACCGUAAGAAUAAGCACCGGCUAACUACGUG
Molecule: ribosomal RNA, 495 nt
Filed under: uncultured bacterium
Lineage: Bacteria
Description: bacterial SSU rRNA
Rfam family: Bacterial small subunit ribosomal RNA
Source: RNAcentral